Molecule: ribosomal RNA, 492 nt
Filed under: uncultured bacterium
Lineage: Bacteria
Description: partial 16S ribosomal RNA
Rfam family: Bacterial small subunit ribosomal RNA
Source: RNAcentral
AGUGAACGCUGGCGGUAGGCCUAACACAUGCAAGUCGAACGGCAGCACAGUAAGAGCUUGCUCUUACGGGUGGCGAGUGGCGGACGGGUGAGGAAUACAUCGGAAUCUACUUUUUCGUGGGGGAUGACGUAGGGAAACUUACGCUAAUACCGCAUACUACCUACGGGUGAAAGCAGGGGAUCUUCGGACCUUGCGCGAUUGAAUGAGCCGAUGUCGGAUUAGCUAGUUGGCGGGGUAAAGGCCCACCAAGGCGACGAUCCGUAGCUGGUCUGAGAGGAUGAUCAGCCACACUGGAACUGAGACACGGUCCAGACUCCUACGGGAGGCAGCAGUGGGGAAUAUUGGACAAUGGGCGCAAGCCUGAUCCAGCCAUACCGCGUGGGUGAAGAAGGCCUUCGGGUCGUAAAACCCUUUUGUUGGGAAAGAAAAGCAGCAUGUUAAUAUCCCGCUGUUCUGACGGUACCCAAAGAAUAAGCACCGGCUAACUUCGUG